CCUACGGGGGGCAGCAGUGGGGAAUAUUGCACAAUGGGCGCAAGCCUGAUGCAGCCAUGCCGCGUGUGUGAAGAAGGCCUUCGGGUUGUAAAGCACUUUCAGCGGGGAGGAAGGCGGUGAGGUUAAUAACCUCAUCGAUUGACGUUACCCGCAGAAGAAGCACCGGCUAACUCCGUGCCAGCAGCCGCGGUAAUACGGAGGGUGCAAGCGUUAAUCGGAAUUACUGGGCGUAAAGCGCACGCAGGCGGUCUGUCAAGUCGGAUGUGAAAUCCCCGGGCUCAACCCGGGAACUGCAUUCGAAACUGGCAGGCUAGAGUCUUGUAGAGGGGGGUAGAAUCCCAGGUGUAGCGGUGAAAUGCGUAGAGAUCUGGAGGAAUACCGGUGGCGAAGGCGGCCCCCUGGACAAAGACUGACGCUCAGGUGCGAAAGCGUGGGGAGCAAACAGGAUUAGAUACCCGAGUAGUC
This 465-nucleotide ribosomal RNA is filed under the name uncultured Klebsiella sp. Its description in RNAcentral is "bacterial SSU rRNA". It matches the Rfam family "Bacterial small subunit ribosomal RNA", at positions 338 to 795 of the family's 1533-position model. Lineage: Bacteria; Pseudomonadati; Pseudomonadota; Gammaproteobacteria; Enterobacterales; Enterobacteriaceae. The record is from RNAcentral.